CGGCAUCCCAGGAAUGCAGUGAUGUGGGCAGAAACCAAGUGAGUUCACGCCACUGAGCGCUUUAAAUGGGACCAAAUCAGCAGCCGUCCAGAAAGGCUCCAGUGAAAACAGAACUGUCAUUAAUGCAGAAAAUGCUUCUAUGCUUGGUGACCCUCUGGAAAACAGUCAGCCAUAAAGUUAUACAAGAGAAUCUCAAAAGCUUGGCAAACAGAGAAGUAAAGGAUAACAAUGAGACAGAUGCAAACAAGAUGUCCUAGCUUGCCAUCCUGGCC
Molecule: long non-coding RNA, 272 nt
Filed under: Fukomys damarensis (Damara mole-rat)
Lineage: Eukaryota; Metazoa; Chordata; Mammalia; Rodentia; Bathyergidae
Description: lncRNA (ENSFDAG00000024574.1)
Source: RNAcentral